AAUGUAACACUAGAUAAAUGAUUAGGUUGGUUUCCUUUAAUACAUACGGUCUCAUUUUCAUUGUCUUGUAAUUAUUCUUUUUUCUUUUUUUCUUUUUCAUUUUCUUGUAAUUAUUCUUUUUUCUUUUUUUCUUUUUCUUUUUCUAUUUAUAAUUAGUAUUUUAGCAUAUUUUUUAAUCUAUAUAACUUAUGUUAAUCGUUUAAUUAUCAGAAUAUAAAAGAUGACAUUUUAUGUUCUUUAGGUUAUAAGUAUAUAUUUAAUUAAUUUUGAUGUUCAAUAAAUAUCUUUCUAAACUAAUUAAUGUCAAGGUUUGUUACUCAAUAAAUGUUUGAUUGAUUUAUAUAAUUGAGGAUUUACUUAAUAUAAUCAUUUAGCUUACAAUAUUUAAUAGAAAUCUCUAGUUCAUAAUCACUCUAUGAUUGUAUAAACAAAAUACAAAGGGUAAAAAAAUACGUACUGCUGAAAAAUUGUCAUAUUUUCCUUUUUUUUCUAUCUUUUAUGAGUAAUUUUCUUUCUUAUCUAUCAAAUGUACGGAACAAUUGAUUUCUGAUAUAGGUUAAUCUUUUGAAGGUUACACAUCUCUAACUUGUUUAUUUUGUCACUCUAUUCAUCUGUGUUUCCUCUUAUUUUCAAUUUUAUUCUUGCAUCACCAAUGAUUAUGAUAGGGUUUUUCGUAUUGUUUUGAUGAGAUUGAGAUGUUUGUUAGGAUUAUGAGGAUCUCACAAUAAUAAAGUUGGUGCUAAUGUAACACUAGAAAAAUGAUUGGGUUGGUUUCCUUUAAUACAUACGGUCUCAUUUUCAUUGUCUUGUAAUUAUUCUAUUUUCUUUUUUUCUUUUUCAUUUUCUUGUAAUUAUUCUUUUUUCUUUUUUUCUUUUUCAUUUUCUACUUAUAAUUAGUAUUUUAGCAUAUUUUUUAAUCUAUAUAACUUAUGUUAAUCGUUUAAUUAUCAGAAUAUAGAAGAUGACAUUUUAUGUUCUUUAGGAUAUAAGUAUAUAUUUAAUUAAUUUUGAUGUUCAAUACAUAUCUUUCUAAACUAAUUAAUGUCAAGGUUUGUUACUCAUUACAUGUUUGAUUGAUUUAUAUAAUUGAGGAUGUACUUAAUAUAAAUAUUUAGCUUACAUUAUUUAAUAGAAAUCUCUGGUUCAUAAUCACUUUAUGAUUGUAUAAACAAAAUACAAAUGGUAAAAAAAUACGUACUGCUGAAAAAUUGUCAUAUUUUCCUUUUUUUUCUAUCUUUUAUGAGUAAUUUUCUUUCUUAUCUAUCAAAUGUACGGAACAAUUGAUUUCUGAUAUAGGUUAAUCUUUUGAAGGUUACACAUCUCUAACUUGUUUAUUUUGUCACUCUAUUCAUCUGUGUUUCCUCUUAUUUUCAAUUUUAUUCUUGCAUCACCAAUGAUUAUGAUAGGGUUUUUCGUAUUGUUUUGAUGAGAUUGAGAUGUUUGUUAGGAUUAUGAGGAUCUCACAAUAAUAAAGUUGGUGCUAAUGUAACACUAGAAAAAUGAUUGGGUUGGUUUCCUUUAAUACAUACGGUCUCAUUUUCAUUGUCUUGUAAUUAUUCUAUUUUCUUUUUUUCUUUUUCAUUUUCUUGUAAUUAUUCUUUUUUCUUUUUUUCUUUUUCAUUUUCUACUUAUAAUUAGUAUUUUAGCAUAUUUUUUAAUCUAUAUAACUUAUGUUAAUCGUUUAAUUAUCAGAAUAUAGAAGAUGACAUUUUAUGUUCUUUAGGAUAUAAGUAUAUAUUUAAUUAAUUUUGAUGUUCAAUACAUAUCUUUCUAAACUAAUUAAUGUCAAGGUUUGUUACUCAUUACAUGUUUGAUUGAUUUAUAUAAUUGAGGAUUUACUUAAUAUAAAUAUUUAGCUUACAAUAUUUAAUAGAAAUCUCUGGUUCAUAAUCACUUUAUGAUUGUAUAAACAAAAUACAAAGGGUAAAAAAAUACGUACUGCUGAAAAAUUGUCAUAUUUUCCUUUU
RNAcentral lists this long non-coding RNA (1967 nucleotides) under Lathyrus oleraceus (garden pea). RNAcentral's name for it is "Pisum sativum (pea) long non-coding RNA (PSAT_LNC041415)". Lineage: Eukaryota; Viridiplantae; Streptophyta; Magnoliopsida; Fabales; Fabaceae. The record is from RNAcentral.